GCAUUCUUAGCUCAGCCGGAUAGAGCAAUGGUCUUCUAAGCCUUUUGUCGCAGGUUCGAAUCCUGCAGAAUGUA
RNAcentral lists this transfer RNA (74 nucleotides) under Ostreobium quekettii. Its description in RNAcentral is "tRNA-Arg". It matches the Rfam family "tRNA". Rfam says of the family: Transfer RNA (tRNA) molecules are approximately 80 nucleotides in length. The record is from RNAcentral. Lineage: Eukaryota; Viridiplantae; Chlorophyta; Ulvophyceae; Bryopsidales; Ostreobiaceae.